This 207-nucleotide ribosomal RNA is filed under the name uncultured Desulfomicrobium sp. Its description in RNAcentral is "partial 16S ribosomal RNA". It matches the Rfam family "Bacterial small subunit ribosomal RNA", at positions 568 to 774 of the family's 1533-position model. The record is from RNAcentral. Lineage: Bacteria; Pseudomonadati; Thermodesulfobacteriota; Desulfovibrionia; Desulfovibrionales; Desulfomicrobiaceae.
CACGUAGGCGGCCUUGUAAGUCAGGGGUGAAAUCCCACGGCUCAACCGUGGAACUGCCUUUGAAACUGCAGGGCUUGAAUCCUGGAGGGGGUGGCGGAAUUCCUGGUGUAGGAGUGAAAUCCGUAGAUAUCAGGAGGAACACCGGUGGCGAAGGCGGCCACCUGGACAGGUAUUGACGCUGAGGUGCGAAAGUGUGGGGAGCAAACA